RNAcentral lists this long non-coding RNA (371 nucleotides) under Zostera marina. RNAcentral's name for it is "long non-coding RNA (ZMAR_LNC000419)". Lineage: Eukaryota; Viridiplantae; Streptophyta; Magnoliopsida; Alismatales; Zosteraceae. The record is from RNAcentral.
UCGGUUUGUCGCAUUGAAAAGAAGCUUAAAAACACAAACAUCUAUGAUCUAUCUCCCACUUACAGUCCAAUUUUUUUUUUGACAAAUUCCUUCCACCCAACAAACGAAAUUCUGUAACACGUGCACUUAUCCAUCCGGUAAGUGUAGAUAUGUGACAUGAUCAUAUCUUGGUCCCCAUCUUGCAGGUAAAUGAGCCACCCCUUGUUAAAAAACUUGGAGACUCGGUUGAUCGUCGGCAGAGUCUGCAAUGUCACCACAAUAUGAUUUAAUGAACACAUGAGGGACAUAAUGGGACAAAUUCGAAUCAGAUCUAGAUUGAUAGGGUUGGGGCGGUGGGGGUAGUUGGGGCUCGUCUUCGGGAUGGAGUUUAG